GAACUUUCAAAACAGCUGAGAUGGCAGCUCGUGCUCACGACGUCGCUGCCCUAGCCCUCCGUGGAAGAGGCGCCUGCCUCAAUUAUGCGGACUCGGCUUGGCGGCUCCGCAUCCCGGAGACAACCUGCCACAAGGAUAUCCAGAAGGCUGCUGCUGAAGCCGCAUUGGCUUUUGAGGCUGAGAAAAGUGAUGUGACGAUGCAAAAUGGCCAGAACAUGGAGGAGACGACGGCGGUGGCUUCUCAGGCUGAAGUGAAUGACACGACGACAGAACAUGGCAUGAACAUGGAGGAGGCAACGGCAGUGGCUUCUCAGGCUGAGAUGAAUGACACGACGACGGAUCAUGGCGUAGACAUGGAGGAGACAAUGGUGGAGGCUGUUUUUACUGAGGAACAAAGUGAAGGGUUUAACAUGGCGAAGGAGUCGACGGUGGAGGCUGCUGUUGUCACUACAAGAAAACACGUUUUUGCCGACUGAUUUUACCGACUGAUUAUGUAGUCGCUAAAUAUACCGACUGAUUCACGACUGAUUAGCGACUAUGCUACGACCGAAAUAAAACAGUAGGUAAUCAGUCGCCAAACAACGACUACAGAAUUCAGUAGAAACCUAGUCGUUUAUUAGCGACUGACUACAGACUAAUGUGUAGUCGGUAAGCAUCGGUCGGUAAUUAGUCGGGAAAUAUAGUGACUGUUUAGCGACUGAUAUAUAUUAGGUGAAACCGUCACAUUUCGGUCGUCAAAAACCGGUAUAAAACACGUGAAUGUCGUUACUAGUUUGGUGUAACAACCUUUUACGACCAAAUAUAUCAGUCGGUAAAGUCAGUCGUAAAUCAGUAGGAAAACAGUCGGAAACAUUUUCUAUAUAUACACCCAACCCAGUCAUUUUUUCUUCGUGCGAUGCUUGAAAGAAUAAAAAAGUCAGAAAAAAACGUUCAGUCACAUAAUGGGAGGUAAUUACAACUACACUAACUUUCGAGAUUGGAUGUACAAGAGGAUCGAUGAAGAAACGGGGAAUUUCUCGGAAGAGUUCACAACGGGAGUAGAGCAAUUCAUGGCAUUUGCAAACAGUCAGCCUCUAACACAGGAUAAUAAUGGUAAAUUCUUUUGUCCUUGCAGUGUUUGCAAGAAUGAGAAAUUUCUCCCGGGGCAUCGAAUUUUGAAACAUAUAUAUAGUAAAGGGUUUAUGCUCGACUAUUAUGUGUGGUACAAGCAUGGAGAAGAACUCGAUAUGGCUUUAGGAACAAGUUAUGCUAAUCCGACGCAUUUAAGUGGUAGUGAAGAUCACAUUGGUAAUGCAGUAGAAGAUAGAUAUGUGGAAAUGGUGAAUGAUGCAUUUCGAGAUAAUGUGAGUUUUGAUAACUAUCAACAUGGUGAUAGUUAUCAAAAUGCAGUAGAUCCGGAAUGCAAUCACUCGAAGAAAUUCUACGACUUGUUAGAAGGAGCGAAAAAUCCUUUAUAUGAUGGUUGCCGAGAAGGUCACUCGCAAUUAUCAUUGGCUUCUAGGAUCAUGCAAAAUAAGGUGGAUUAUAAUUUGAGUGAAAAGUGCGUUGAUUCGGUAUGUGAAAUGUUGACAGACUAUUUACCAGCUGGAAACCAAUCAACCGGUUCACAUUACGAGACAGAAAGAUUGAUGCGCAAUUUGGGUCUCCCGUACUAUAAAAUUGAUGUGUGUGUUAACAAUUGUAUGAUCUUCUGGAAAGAGGAUGAAAGGUGGGAUAAGUGUCAGUUUUGUGAUGCACCAAGAUGGAAGCCUAGAAGCGAACGACGUAGAACCAAAGUGCCAUAUAGUCGUAUGUGGUAUCUACCUAUUGCUGACAGAUUGAAGAGAAUGUAUCAGAGCAAGAAGACAGCAGCAGCAAUGAGAUGGCAUGCAGAGCACCAAGCAAAGGAGGGUGAAAUGUCUCAUCCGUCAGAUGCAGCAGAGUGGAAACACUUUCAAGAUCAACAUCCCCGGUUUGCAGAGGAACCCCGUAAUGUUUAUCUCGGCUUAUCUACGGAUGGAUUCAAUCCAUUUGGGAUGUCUAAUAAUCAUUCGUUGUGGCCAGUGAUCUUGACUCCAUAUAAUCUACCUCCUGGUAUGUGCAUGAAUCCAGAGUACUUGUUUCUCACAAUUUUGAAUUCUGGGCCAAAUCACCCACGAGCUAGUCUAGAUAUCUUCCUCAAACCUCUAAUUGCGGAGUUAAAAGAGCUGUGGUCUACUGGAGUUGAAGCAUACGAUGUCUCUUUGAAUCAAAAUUUUAAUCUUAAGGCUGUGCUUCUUUGGACGAUAAGCGACUUUCCGGCAUAUGGGAUGCUAUCAGGAUGGACGACUCAUGGUAGGUUGUCUUGUCCAAUUUGUAUGGAAGAUACAAAGGCUUUUUAUCUGAAGAAUGGAAGGAAGACGUGUUGGUUUGAUUGUCAUCGAAGAUUUCUUCCUCGUGGCCAUCCAUUGAGGAAGAACAGAAAGGACUUCUUGAAGGGAAAACAUGCUAUGAAUGAAGUUCCACCUGAAUCUUUGAGUGGUGAGCAAGUUUAUUCUGAGCGGUUAAAAGGUGUCAAUCCACCAAAAACGUCCCAGUGCGGUGGAAAUGGUCACGAUAAGAAGAAACCCGGAUAUGGGAAGGAACAUAACUGGCACAAGGAAAGCAUAUUCUGGGAGUUGCCGUACUGGAGGGACCUAAAUCUUCGACAUAAUCUUGAUGUUAUGCAUAUUGAGAAGAAUUUUUUCGACAACAUCAUGAAUACUCUUAUGAGUGUGAAGGGUAAGUCGAAAGACACAAUCAAGUCAAGAUUGGAUAUAGAACUUCUCUGUGAUCGGCAACACUUACAUGUUGAUAGUCGUGGUCAAGCUCCUUUUCCUCCCUACACACUGGGAGAGAGCGCAAGAAAAAGUUUAUUGGAAUGUGUGAAAGUUGGGGUAAAAUUUCCAGACGGUUAUGCUUCCGACUUAGCUAACUGUGUUGAUAUAGAGAAGCGGAAGUUUUCAGGCAUGAAGAGUCAUGACUGCCAUGUGUUUAUGGAGAGGCUACUUCCAUUUAUAUGUGCGGAACUCCUAGACGAGAACGUCCAUCUUGCUUUAUCAGGUACAAAUUAAUUAAUUAAUUAUAGUUUCAUGAUAUAUUACAUUUCGAAGAGUGUUUAUAAAUUGGGUUAUUAACGAUUUUAAAUUUGUUUAUAUAUUGCAGGGAUUGGUUUAUUUUUCCGUGACCUUUGCUCGAGAACUUUGCAAAAAAAUCGCUUAAAAAAACUUAAACAAAAUAUUGUUUUGAUACUAUGCAAUUUGGAAAAGAUCUUUCCACCAUCUUUUUUUGACGUGAUGGAGCACUUGACUAUACAUCUCCCCUAUGAAGCAGAACUAGGAGGCCCCGUGCAAUAUAGGUGGAUGUAUCUUUUCGAAAGAUAUUUUAAGAAGUUGAAAGCGAACGCAACGAACAAAAGCCAUGCAGCAGGGUCGAUAGUUGAAGCAUAUAUCAAUGCUGAGAUUGCUUAUUUCUCAGAACACUACUUCGCUGACAGUAUACAAACAAAAUCGAGGUAAAUGUUAUAAUUAGUUACAUGUUCGCCUUUUCAUGUGUAUUUAUAUGUUUUCUUCUAAAAUGUGGAUCUCUUGUCCUAAUAUGGUAGGUUUACAAGAUUUGAAGUAGGUGAAGUCCCUGUAUAUCAUGUUGAAGGAGUACCAGAUAUAUUUAUUCAGGUAGGUCGUCCAAGCGGGGAAAUGCAAGAAAUUUGGCUUUCCGAAAAAGAUUAUCUAUGCGCACAUGCUUAUGUUUUGCGAAAUUGUGAUUAUUUUCAGCCAUUUGAGAGGUAUAUAUAAUUUGACAAAUUAAAUCCAUACCUUAUAUUUCUCACACUAAUCUAACAAAUGCAUACCUUCUCAUAUUUUAAUUUUGUUGCUCUAAUAUAGCAUGUUCGAAGAUUUUCUUUCUGUAAAAUAUCCAGACCUUUCUGAAAGAGAUCUCUCCACGAAGAGAGCUGAGGAAUAUCAUAUAUGGGUGAAAGAUUAUGUACGUCUCAGUUAUACUAUUAUAAUACUUAAUUUUACAUAGUGUUUAUCUUGUGUAUAUAUAUUUACAGGUUACUCACUGGAGCGAAACACAUCCCUUUCCUGCUUGGGUUAAAGAGUUUGUACAAGGACCCGUGAAUAAAGCCAAAACCUGGCCAAUUUAUUUCACUCGAGGUUUUCUGUUUCAUACCCAAACGCAUGGUGAGGGACGAAAGACUUGCAACUAUGGAGUAUGUGCUAAAGGAGAGAGUUAUACAAAUGCAGCUGAUGAAUCUCAGUACUAUGGGAUCUUAACAGAUAUCAUACAAAUCAAUUACGAGGGUAUAGUCGAUUUGAAAAUCACACUUUUUAAGUGUAAGUGGUAUGACCCUGUUAUUGGUAGAGGCACUCGGCGGAAAAAUGGCGGAAUAGUGGAUGUUCUCUCAUCGAGAAAAUACUACAAAUAUGAUCCAUUUAUUCUAGGUACGUUUGUAUAUAUAUACUUAUUGUUUAUAUUUUUAUUAACUAUAUUUAUUUUUGUUUAACAGCAUCUCAAGCAGAUCAAGUUUGUUAUAUUCCAUAUCCAUAUGUAAGAAAACCGAAGCAGUCUUGGCUCAAUGUUCUAAAAGUGAAUCCGAGGAGAAUCAUUUUUGGAGAAUAUGAAGACAAAGAUCCGGUGACUUUGCAACAAGAAAACGAUGAUGCUGUUUUGAUGACCACAGUUGAAGACCUUGAAGUCGACCAUUUGGUACAUGCUCCUGGAGAACCGAUCAAUAUUGAUUUCGAUGUGGCAGAUGCAGAACCUAAUGAUGAAUUCCGAUGUAAUUUAUCAUCUUCAGACGAUGAUGAAGAUGGAGAUGAAGAUGAACCGUACUAAGUUGCUUAAUUAACAUGAUGAAACGAUCAAUAUUCGGUUUCCAUGUAUAAUAUUAUCUUGUAAUAUGAUGAACUUCGGUUACCAUGUAUAAUAUUAUGUUUCAUAUAUAUGUUAUAAACUUUAUUUGUCGUAUUUAAUAUAUUAUGUUGUAAUACAAUGUUAUUUUGGAUUUAGGGAUUAGGGUUUCGAUUUAGGGGUUAGGAUUAAGGUUUAUUAUGUACAUUUUUAUUUGGCUCCAAAAGUUCUUAAAUCGCAAAAAACAUUUAAAAUAUAUGUUGUAAUAUUUAAUUAUGUAUAUUUGUAUUUUCAAAUUUAUUUUCAAAUUUAUUUGCAAAUUUAACGACUGAUUACCUACUUAUUACCGACUAUUAAGCCAAAAAUUCGGUUUUGCCUCCAAAAAAUUAUUGAACCGCGAAAAUAUUUGGUUAUAAUUUGAUGUUGAAUUUCAAUUUAAUUUUCAUUUUAAAAAAUGAUGACUGAAUUCCUACUGAUUGGCGACUGAUGAUCUAAACCGGGAAAACCCAAAAUUUUUAGACUUAAAGCCCGCGUUAACAAAGCCCAAAAUUUUAUUUCAUCUCUUCUAAUUUCGCGGAAGAAGAAACAGAACCACCAAGAAAACCCUAAUCACUCUCAAUCUCCAUCUCGAUCUCAAUCUCAAUCUCUCUCACGAUCUCAAUCUCCAUCUCCAUCUCGAUCUCAAUCUCUCCCACAGAUCUCGACGGCCACUCUCUCCCACCGGUCUCGAUCGCGAUCUCUCCCACCGAGCUCGAUCUCGAUCUCUCCCACCGGUCACAAUCUCGAUCUCUCCCGCCGAUCCCGAUCUCUCCAGCAUCUGUCUCCGAAGAUGGGUGGAAAGAGGAAGCGGAAUACCGUCAAACCCAACUCCUCUCGGGUUACACAACGCCCAGCUACUUUACCAGCUCAGUAUGACUUCGUACCGAGGGAUCCAUCUCCGUCGAUCCCACCCGUUCUCCCUAAGAACAAACCUCUCCCUAAGAACAAUCCUCUCCCAUCUGUUCGCGAUUAUCCUCCUCCGAGAAAGCUGUUUCCGGAAACGAACUUCCCACCUUCUCAAUCAGCUCCGUCGCCUCUCACUCCAGCUGCUGCGACGUCUCAACCUCAACAUCGACAAACUCAGUCGACUGAACGUAUGAACACACUUCCUCCAAGUCAACCGGCUCCAGUUCGAGCAUCUCAAUCGCCUCACAGUUCUGAAGCACAAAAUUCUCGUUUUCCAGAAGAGGAGGAGGAGGAGGAUAUGUCCGAUGUAGAGGCUCCGGUUCAACCUAAUCUCGCCUCUGACCAUAUGGAUCUUUUGAACUCCCUUCUAAACCAGCCAGGUCGAGCGAAGAACACAAUUGUCCUGUCUCGCAACCUUGAGCCUGGAACCACAUGGUAUUUUCUCUUCCUUUCUUACAAUUGUUGAUGAUUCUUUGAUGAUUCAUUGCUUAUUGGUUAUUGAUCAGUUAUGUUCUUUGCUUGUCUUCUUUUAGAAAUUUAAUUUAAAAAUUUGUAUUGAUGAUAAUUAUAUGUUUGUAGGUUUGGGUAUGACAAGUCGAGCUUGUCUAGGAAGAUUACCAAGAUUUUAAAGAACAAGUUUAAUAAGCCUUUCUACAGCUGGACUCGUGUGCCUAGAGACAGACAAGAACGCUACUUUCUGGAAUUUGCCGUAAGUUUCUCUGUCUCUUCUCUGUCUUUGAGUUAUUAUAGUUAUUAAGUAAGUGGUGUUGACUGGUGUUGUGCAACUCACCAUCCAUGUUAACUUGUCUUUUUUGAACAAGUUUAUUACACACUGUUUUUUUAAUUCUUUGGUUUUUGAUGGCUAACUAGUAUCUUCUAUGUUCAUUUGUAGAAAACUCACACAUGGGAUCCAUCAUUGACUGGUGUUGUGCAAGAACAUUUCGAGGCCAUUGCUCUUCUACGAAUGAAAGACAUGGUCAGCGAAGUAAGGACAUCUCGGCAGCAGCCUAAUUGGAUAGGCGACACACUCUGGAAACUAAUGACCGACUAUUGGGACACUGACGCUGCGGUUGCAAAGAGUGCUACAGCAUCAGCAUCUAGAAUGUCUGACCGUCAAGGUCUUGGCUUUCACACACAUAACUCUGGCCAGAAGUCUUAUAUGCAGCUCCACCAAGAGAUGGUGAGUCCCUACUUCUUAUCUGUUCAUUGUGAUAAGUCUGUUUGGUUUUUAAACAUUUUAUACUGAUCUUUUCUUCCAUUUUACUUCAGGUUGUUGAAUUGGGAAGACCAGUGAGCUUUGGUGAAGUAUUCAUCAGAGCUCAUACAAAGUCAGAUGGAACCUUUAGUGAUUUCAAAGCUAAACAAGUUAUUGAGGCUUUCAAGAAGCAAAAAGAAGCUAAGUUGGCCACCCUUGAGACUGAUGAUCACACCGAGACUGGGCAGCAUCCACCACUAUCAAUAGAAGAGGAGAAUGAGCUGUUUAUUCAGGUUGGGUUUCUUACUCAACAUUUUCUUUUUUGCAUUCAUAAUAGUCUCUCACUUGUUAUUGAUUGUCUUGCUUGUUAUUGCUUGUUAUAGGCCACUUUCACCAAUGACAGGGGGCAAAUUUAUGGCCUUGGAAGCUUGAAGAACCAACUUAAUGAAGUGGCAUAUGACCCAAGAAGCUUGUCCUCUUUCAUCCAAAUGCAGCAGCAACUUGAAGAAGCUCAACGUCAAAUCAAAGAACAAGCUGCUCUUCUUGCAAAGGCUGAGGAAGAUCGUGCCCAAGCUGCUGCUGCUGCGGCAAUGGUUGAGGAAGAGCGUUCCAGAGUUAUAGCUACUCAGCAAGCUACGAUCGAUGAGUUGUUAAUGGUUCGGAAGUACAUCGCCACCACAGACCAGAGAUUCUUGGACUUCAUCUCCAAAGAAACAGCUUCAUCUGAUCCUCAUCAUGUUUAGGUCUUUCCCUUCUCCUAUGUGAAAAACUACCUUUUGGAUGUGUGAAACUUGUAAACUCUUUGGAGUUCUUUCUGUUUGAAAUUUGAUUACUCCUAAGUUAUGGAGUUCUUUUGUUUGUGUAUGGUAUUUAAAACUUUUAUGAUUUCAAAAUCGUUUUUAGUAGUACUAAUAGCAGAUUUAAAUAACAAAUCAUGGACAAGAAAAACAAUACACCAAAAUCAUAUAUUUAACAGCCAAAAAAAUAUGGUAAUUAGUCGCAUAUCAGUCGCGAAAUCAGUCGUAAAUUUUAAGCAUUUCAGUCGCUAAUCAGUCGUGAUUCGGUAGCAGUAAUAUACCGACUGUUUUCCUACAGAGAUAGUUAGUCACUAAGUCAGUCGUGUAAUCAGUCGCUAAAUGCAGUCGUUAAACUCAGUCGUUAAAUUCAGUCGCUAAACGCAGUCGUUAAAUUCAGUCAGUAAGCCGUCGUAGAAUAGUCACUAAAUAAGUCGUAAAUCAGUCGCCAAAUGCCCUACUAAUUACCGACUGAAGUUACGACUGAUCAUAAUAGUCGUCAAACAGUCGCUAAAUACCGACUGUUUUACGACUAAAAUAUUUAGCGACGAGGUAUAUUACGACGACUCUUAUCAGUCGUUAAUCAGUCGGAAAUGACCAUUUACCGACUGAAUACCGACUAAUACCGUAGUCGGAAACGACCUGUUUUCUUGUAGUGUGUUACGGAGGAACCGAGCAAAGGAUCUUACAUGGACGAGGAGUGGAUGCUCGAGAUGCCGACCUUGUUGGCUGAUAUGGCGGCAGGGAUGCUUUUGCCGCCACCGUCCGUACAAUGGGGACAUAAUGAUGACUUCGAAGGAGAUGUGGACAUGAACCUCUGGAGUUAUUAAUACUCGUAUUUUAAAAAUUAUUUAUUGUGCAAUAAUAUUUUAUCGAAUUUCGAAUUCUGCCUUUAAUUUUUAAUGGGGAUCUUUAUUUGUGUGGGAAACGAGUGUAAAUGUUCCGCCGUGGUGUUGUCAAAAUGCUGAUUAUUUUUUGUGUGCAGCAUAAUCACGUUUGGUUUCCUUUACACUCGAAAUUUAGUUGAAAUACAAAUAGAAUAGAAAAGAGAAAGAAUGUUAUUUGAUGAAAACGGAGAAAUAAAAAAAUGGAUUCAGUAUAAAUUUUAAAGUGAUUGUAUAUUAAAAUGACAAAUAUUCACUAUUUAGAUAUAAUUUGUAAAAGAUUUUGAAAUCCAAGAGGCAAGAGAUAUUAAUUUGAAAACAUAUUUUCAAAGGUUAUAAAUCUUUUUUGAAUAGCAUAUCUCUAAGAGCAUGUUUAAUGGUAUAUCCCACAAUAGAGUCUUUUAGAUAACUUUUAUUAAUAAAAUAAUUAUAUAUUUAAAAUUUAUUUUAAUAAAAUAAAUCAUUCACAAAAUAACACAUAGAAGAAAAAUAAGAGACUAAGCUAGAGAUGUCUACAUCUCUUAAAUAAGAAAUAUAUCUUAUUUUUCUCUCAUACUUUUUACUUUUUUUAUAUUGUAAUAUUAAGAGACCUAGAUAAUAAACUUGCAUUAAACCUGUUCUGAGUAGAAACAAUAUAGGGGCACUGCAGUUAUUAGCAAAAGUUAUGGGGUAUCUAAUGGAUAGGAAAAGUUAUGGGCAUUACUAUAAAUAGCAAAAAUAUAGUGAAUGAACAGCGGAAGAUUUGGAGCAAAAGUUUCAGGAAAGUUAACACACAAAAUUAGAGAUAUGGGUUGACUUAUAUCCUAUGUAGGAUAUUUAAGUUUACCAAUUUGAUGCAUUUUUUUUUUGACAAAACCAAUUUGAUUCAUAUUAAUCUGAAUAAACUUGAUUUGAUCAUUUAUUAAACGAAUUAGAGUUUGAGGUGAUUUUGUUUAAUAGAGUGAAAAUAAUUAUAAUGAUGUCAAACACUAAUUUUAAGCAUGUGGUGUUUAGUUUUUUUUUUUUCUUUUUUUUGACGUCGCAUGUGGUGUUUAGUUUAGCUGUGACGUUAUUUAUAGUUUUAUAUAUUUGAUUUGUACUAUUUAAAAUUUAACACAGUAUGAUGUAUUAUAUAUUACUGUCUAUAGUUGAUAUUAACACGUUAUAAAAGAACGGCUCCAUCUUACCAAGUAAUUUGUAAGCUUUAUCUAUGCUUAGAAAACCCGUAGGCUGUAAUCAUUGUCAGGGUUGGCCCUAAUAUGUUUGUUAUGUAAAGCGGAACAUAUACCAUACCAAAUCAAACUUGGGUGUAGAUAAAAUGUUGUCUCAAAUAGUGUUUUAAAAACACGUGUUCUGAUUCCUAGCUUCAACGGUCUCUUAUACAGAAAUAACUAAAUAGAGAUGUUCACAGUAUUCUACUUUUAGCCGCGUGGUGAUCUCCGAUUGGUAAAUCUUUUGUCUUUAAAAUAAAAAAGAAUCACUAGGAUAUUUUUGUGAACAAACACAAAUUAACCCCGAAGAAAAUACAUGGCUUAAGAGAGCAAAAGAUAAUUUAGAUAUAUACUCGUUUAUGAUCUGCAUAUUGAUUAUGUGAAAGAAUAUUUACAAUCUUUUUGAUUCCUAUUUAUACUAAUCUCAAAAUCCAGUAUUAUUUUUCUCUUUAGCUAAACAUAUUUAGCAAAUGUAUCUUUCCUAAUCAUAAAAGGCAUAUUGUGCUGUGGGAGCUCCCCCAUAUGUCGAUCUUGAUCUUUGUCUAUAAUUUACUGGUGCAUAGUAAUAUUACUCAAUUCCAAAAUUGAUUGAAAAUCAACAAGAUCAUGAUUUAUGAGAUUAUGAGUCGAAACCAAGACUAUGAAAAGAUUGUAAAGAUUGGUUACUAUUUUAAUUUAGAAAGUUUGCCUUCAAGCUAUGACAACUUAAUCUCCGACGGAGCUGCAAGAAAAUGGUGAGUAAUUUUUAAGUUCACCGGAAAUUUGCAGAAAAUUUCCGACAAAAAGAGAUUCUCGACGAAUUUUCGGUAAGUUUGUUGGAAUUUUCUCAGAAACAAUGUGAAGUUCCGACAAAUACGUAUUUUCGGAAAUUUCUGGGUAAUAUUGUCGAAGAAUUUUGGGUUGUACCGACAAAUGAGCAUUCUCUGUGUUUGGUUGGAGUUGCAUCGGAAAGUUGACAGUAUUAAAAUAAAUUAUUUUUGUCCAUUUUCAUUGAAUUUCUAGAUAAAUGUUAGUCGGAAGUUGUCCACUACAAAAAUAAGUGCCAGUCCAUUGCAUGCAUAAAGAAAAUACAGAAAGAAAAUAAUAAUAAUAAUAAUAAUAAUAAUAAUAAUAAUAAUAAUAAUAAUAAUAAUAAUAAUAAUAAUAGCUAAACCUAAUAUUUGUGGUCAUGGGAAGCAUUAUGGCCUAGUGGUCAAGGUUUAAAAGCUUAUACACUAUGUUCGCGGUUCGAUUCUCAGAGGAAGCGUAGUUUCUUGCAUAUUAUAGUAUGCAUGCUUUUUGGAGGUUCCAGCGUGCUUUAUGUAUAGUUGUUCGGGUGGUCGUGUGCUGCAGAGAGAGCAUGUUUAUCGAAGAUGUUGUACAUGCAGAACCAUUCGUCGAUCCAAGUGUUAUGGGGAGAGCUACAUCGUGGAAUCGCUGUUCGUGAAGUUGUUCUUCAUGCUCGCAUAUGCUGCAUGUAUUGUUCUUCAAACCAAAGGUCCUUGAACCACCACCCUUGAACUCCUUGCACCACCACAAUGCAUCUCCUUCCACCACCGUCACUGCUAACUCCACCUCCACCAUCACGGCCAGGUCCAUAUCCUACAUCGGUACCAUCGCCCACUUCAUCGCUACCGUGCACCCUACACCCCACUAAUAUUUAUUGUUUUAUAGAUGUUUUAUAUUUAAUAUAUUUAUAUGUAUUGAAUAUUCAGUAAUUUUAAUAUUAUUUGAGUUUUUUUCUUUUUCUUAAUUAAAAAUAUUAAGUUGUCGUAAGUUUAUCAGGGUAUAUUUUUUCGGAAUAUCAUCAUAAUGGUCCUACCACUUUCUGACAAAUACUUCUAAUGGUAUUUGUGAUCGGAAUUUACCGAUUAUUUUCCGACAAAUGGAGUUUCUGAGACCCAAACUCCGACUAAAGUUUGAUUGUCGGAAUUUUUUCAAAACAUCUAUUACCGACCAACUUCAGAUGAAUAUGACUGUCAGAGUUUACACUUUAUUCUUGUAGUGAUAAAUAUAUUAUUUGCAUUUAUGCUUAUUUUAGUUUAUAUAAUGUUGCCUCUUUUGCUUUAUAAGUUUAAUGUAAUUUGUAAUACAAUUCAGACUGAAAUACUCUCAAACUACCGUUUUGAACCUUACGUUGAUAUGAGAAGCUGAAAGAGCUAGUCGCUUUCUGGAAAAACUACCUUGCCCAGAGUUGGACGCAGUAGCGGCAUUGGGUACAAGUUGUAGAAGCAUGUGCUUCCGGCCAUUUUUUAAAUAUGUUAUAUUUCGGCCUUUGAGUUGUAAAAAUCUCAGGUAGCAUAGUUGGUUUAUGCUUUGUUUAAGCGUGUUCUGUAUAUGCUAGGUUCAACGUUCUUCUCCAGCAUUUCUAUUUUUAUUAUUAUUUAGUUACUAAAUAAUAGGCCCAUAAUUUUUUUUUUGCUUCCAACCCUUUAUUUUUACUGACAUGACCUGGUUGGACAAAUUUUUUUAUGUUUCAGAACCCUGCAUUGUGCCCCAACCGGCAACAUUAUAGCACAUUAUUGUUUUAUGAUAUAAUAAAUUAGAUGAUUUUCUAAUCUAAAACCAAUUGAUAAUAAAUGUAUUAAUUUUAUAUGCUAAUUUUUUUAAAACUUUCGAUGUGAAACUUUAUUUCUAAUAUGCCUUUUGGACAUGAUGAUCUUUUAACCAUUAAUUUUGAAAUAUUAAGCAAGAACACAAAUUUUAGGUUGGAACGAAUAUGAAUCGGAUUAGAUUGCGUAUAUCAGGCUGUGGUAUUCUAUUAGAUUAGAUGAAUUGACAACAUAAAAUCAAUUGAUAAUAAAUAGAUUGAUCAAUUUUUAUAUAUUAAUUAGUUAAUAGGUUUUCCAAUUUUCUUAUGUGUGAUUUUGUUUCUAGUAUGACAUAAUUUGUUUAUAUGCUAGUAGUUUAUAUGGUGUCAUUUUGAUUGAUUGUGACGAGUCUCUGGCUGAAUUCAAACAUUUUAAUGGCUGGUUCUGUGGCGACAGACAAAAACUGUAUAUUCAGGGCGUACCAUGUUUUCUCUGGGGUACAAAACUGUUAGGUUAUUUAUCCUACAAAGAGGAAAUAAACACUUUGCACACUUGGAAAAGUGACCCACACAUCAAAACUCAAAAGUGACUAGUAUAAUAUACAUAUUUAAAAGAAUGCUCUUAUAUGUGUGUAUGAUAACAACUGAAAACAAAAUGAGAGCACUUAUGAUAUCUUUCUCGCAGAUCUUUUAGGUCAAUUUGUUUCUAGAUGGUUUAUCAAUGAUGGAAUUUUGUUUAUACAGGGAUGUUAAUAGUUAUAUACAGGAUUGCCCUACACAAACACAGCCACACACUCACUCAGGACAGGUCAAAAACUCUCAUAAAGGUUUAACGAGUGAAGAGUCAGCAGCCAAGCCAAAAGGGUCAAGAUGACACGUGGCAUGCAGCAUGCUAGUGAAUGAAUACCCCGGUCGAGAGACAAGGUGACUGGCCUUAAAGAAACAUUUGUCAAAAGAGGUUUCCGAAAAUGGAAAAUAAAACCGAAGCAACCGCUUUCAGCAAACCGCGAAUUUAAUAGAGACCAAAACGGUAUUCCAAAAACAGAAAGAUGGGUCCUAUUAUCCUAUAAGAGAGCUCAUGGCCCCGUGGCUUAAAUAUUAGUUCUAAUACUAUCACGUCACCUUCAAGCCUUACUUUCUUGUUAAGAAAAUCAUUUUCUUGUGUCAUUUUUUUUUCAUCAUUCAUCACCACUAGUUUUUGCCCUUUAUGUUUUGUCGUCUUGUUUUUUUUCUCCGAAGGUGUCUCUAUACUCAAUAGUGAGUAGCGUGUGGGAAUUGAGAGUGACGUUCCUUUGUAUAAGAUAUUCUAUAUUGAGAUACUUUUUUUUAACUAUAUUAAAGAUCUUUCUCCACCACGUGAAUAUAUUGAAGAGAAAUUUGAGCAUAUAACAAAAAAAACAUCUAUAUUUCACCAACUAACCAUAUAACUCUCUGUCUCCUAUUUUUCUUUAUAUCUCUCUCUAUCCUCUUACUCCAAAACUAAUAUUUUUUCCCAAUAUAGUCAUUCAGUAAAUUAAUCCUAUAUUUAAUCCACAAGUUUUUUUUGGAACAAGAACCACAAUUUUUUAUUGAUAAUAUUUGAAUUAUCUUAUCGAUAUUUGACCAAACAAAAAAAAAAUUUUAUUGGUAUAAUGGAUAUUCAAGUUAGAUUGUGUAGAUAAGAUUUGAUAUUCUAUUAAACUAGACAAACGGUCAACUAAAAAAACUUAUAAUGUGUGACUUUGGUAUAAUAUGACCGAAUUUCAUUAUAUGCUAGUAGUUCAUAUGGUGAUUUUGAUCGAUUGUGACGAGUUUCUGGUUGAAUCCCCUGCAUACACUUUAAUGGCUGGUUCUGAGGAAACAAACAAAAACGGUAGGACUUGUCAAAUUAUCUGAGGUAGAAAAAUACUAGGUUAUUUAUUCUUCAAAUGUGAAAAUAAACGUUUUUGUACCCUUGGAAAAGUGAAUCACACAUCAAAAGUGUCUAUUAUAUGACAUUUUUAAAAGAGUGCUCUUAUAUAUGAUACCAACUCAAAACAAAUAGAGUACUUUAUGAUAUCUUUUUUCUUAGAUCUUUAGGUCCAUUAUUUCUAGAUGGUUGAGCAAUAAUGACAUUUUGUUUAUUCAUGGAACUAGUUAAUAGAUAAAUACAGAGUUGUCCUACACAGUGCACACCACAAACACAGCCACACAUUCCCACAAUAAAGGUUUAACGAGUAAAGAGUCAGCAGCCAUACCAAAAAGGUCAAUAUUACACGUGGCGGCCUAUUAAUGAAUGAAAAACGCAUUCACACAAAACCGUGGGACCAUUAUAGCGUGGUCCUGUCCAGUUGGCACUCCCAGAGCCAAAAACACCGUGUUCUUUUCUAAAAACCAGCCCCACCCAUUUCCAAAUAUCUCAUGCCAAUAUAAACACCAACUCUCGCUCCACUUUUCUCAAACCACAAACUUUUAACUCUACCUGAAAAGAAGAUAAAAGAGAGAGAAAUAAAUAUCUUAUCAAACCAGUCAGAACAGAGAUCUUGUUACUUACUAUACUACACUCAGCCUUAUCCAGUUUUCAAAAAAAGUAUUCAACUAUGAACUCAGUCUCUACUUUUUCUGAACUGCUCUGCUCCGAGAACAAGUCUCCGGUUAAUACGGAAGGUGGUGAUUACAUUUUGGCGGCGAGCUGUCCCAAGAAACCUGCUGGUAGGAAGAAGUUUCAGGAGACACGCCACCCCAUUUACAGAGGAGUUCGCCUAAGAAAGUCAGGUAAGUGGGUGUGUGAAGUGAGGGAACCAAACAAGAAAUCUAGAAUUUGGCUCGGAACUUUCAAAACAGCUGAGAUAGCAGCUCGUGCUCACGACGUCGCCGCCUUAGCUCUCCGUGGAAGAGGCGCCUGCCUCAACUUCGCCGACUCGGCUUGGCGGCUCCGUAUCCCAGAGACAACCUGCGCCAAGGAUAUCCAGAAGGCUGCUGCUGAAGCCGCAUUGGCUUUUGAGGCCGAGAAGAGUGAUACCACGACGAAUGAUCGUGGCAUGAACAUGGAGGAGACGUCCGCGGUGGCUUCUCCGGCUGAGUUGAAUGAUACGACGGCGGAUCAUGGCCUGGACAUGGAGGAGACGAUGGUGGAGGCUGUUUUUAGGGACGAACAGAGAGAAGGGUUUUACAUGGCGGAGGAGACGACGGUGGAGGGUGUUGUUCCGGAGGAACAGAUGAGCAAAGGGUUUUACAUGGACGAGGAGUGGACGUUCGAGAUGCCGAGGUUGUUGGCUGAUAUGGCGGAAGGGAUGCUUCUGCCUCCCCCGUCCGUACAAUGGGGACAUAACGAUGACUUCGAAGGAGAUGUUGACAUGAACCUCUGGAGUUAUUAAUAUUCGUUUUUUUAAAUUUACUUUUGGACGAUAAUAUUUUAUUGAAUUUUGGAUUCUACCUAUUUUUUAAUGGAUAUCCUUUUUCUGGUAGUGUGAGAAACGAUUGUAAAUGUUUCCACAAAUGUGUUGUCAAAUGCUCAUGAGUAUUUUUGUGUGCAGCAUAAUCAUCUUGGUUGCCUUAUAUGCAACAAUUUUUUUUAAACAAAUAAAUUUUACUGUAAAUUUAAAAUAAAAAUAAAAAAGGAAGGAGAAAGAAUUAAUGCUACUAAAUAAAAAUGGACUCACAAUUUUUUUUAAACGAUCUUAUAUAUUAAAACAGAAGUCACAACCUUGAUUCAUGUGUGAUUUUUUUAAAUGGACCCUCAUUAGAAAUCAGUUAUCAUUCAUUUAUUACUAAUAAUAUGGAUUAAUAAUAUAUCAUUCAUAAUAUAACAUCGACUCCUAAAAAUCCGGAUUGGUUAACAAACUCACCUUGAUUCAUGUGUGCCAUUUUUAUUUAGAUCAUCAUUUAAAUUUUUUAUUAAAUAUAUUUCCUUAAUGCUAAUAUAUAAUUUUUUAACUACAUAAAUCAUAGUAUAAUUUGAUAUCUUUUAAUUUAAAAUAUAAAUAUAUAUAGUUAAUUUUCUUAACGAAUGUGUUGAAAAACAUUAUAACAAUAUCGUAAUUAUCAAAAAUUGUAUAUAAAUAUUUUCACUAAUUUUGUAAUUAGUAAUGAAGUUAAUGUUAUUAUACAUUAAUAUAUAUAUAUAUAUAUAUACUCAGUUAUCUUUUAUAAAAUGAAAAAAAAUUAUAUCAAAUUUUACUAUUUUAUAGUUAUAUCUAUCAUUUUAAAAUAAAUCAUUGUAUUUAACUAAAUAUGAUAAAAUUAUUUUAAACUGAUAAAUAAAUAUAUUUUAUUUUCAUAAACAUUAAAAAUUUAUGCUAGAAAUAUAAUAUGUUGGUAGAACGGGUUAACAUUAGUAAAUUAUAUAAUUCAUGUAUAAAAUUAACUUAUCUUAAACUUAUAUAUAUAUAUAUAUAUAUAGUUAUUAUCUUAAAUGAAUAAACAUAAAAAAAUAUUGAUAAAGGAAAUCUAGCGCUUUAAAUUACGGAUCAAGAUCAUAAUAAUUGAAUAAAAAUAAUUUUAAAAUAUAUAUAAUAAAAAAUAACAAAUAUAUGUGAUGAUUUGAAAUAAUCAAUUAACUUACAGCAUGAAAACUAUCAAAUUGUUAUAUUUAAAAUAAUUAUAUAUAAACAUUUAAAUAUAUAAGCAACUUUAAAUAUAUAUUCUAAUUAUGUAAAAUAUAUAUAAGCAUGAAAAUUAACACCCGCACGAUUGUGCGGGUCCAAAUCUAGUUUUGUGUUAAAAUGACAAAUGCUUCCAUUAUUUAUAUAUAAAUGUAAAAAAUUAGAGCGCCUAUGUAAUUAUGUAUGAUAUUUAAUUAAGUUGACCAAUUUGAUUCAUAUUAAUCUGAAUAAACUUGAUUUGAGAAUAAAUAACGAAUUAGAGUUGGAGGCGAUUGUUUAAUAGAGUAUAAAAAUGAAAAUAAAUAUAAUGAUGUCUAACACUAAUUUUAAGCAAUGUGGUGUUCAUUUUAGUUGUCUUGUUUCUAAUUUUAUUUAAUAGUUGUAAGCUUGUAAUGUAUAUACAAUACAAAUCGUUUUGUAAUUAGAAAAAGUGUGUGUGUUUUCUUUUCUUUUUUUGGUAAAAAACUGUUCUAGAUAAUUUUUUAUAGUAAUUAGACUCCACCACAACCGGUGUCCUAAAUCCAGAAUUUUUUUUAUAAAGUUUUUUGGAAAGUACUCAUAGUACCAUCCGCUGACAUAAAAUUGAACAUGCGAUCUCUAACAAUCGUCUGUGAAAAAAAAGAUCACUGGAUAUAACCACUUCUCGAAACAUCGCUUGUGUUUUGAUAUCUACAAAACUCUAACAAGUAGCUUAAGUAUAGCUUGAUAGCAGUUUUGUGAGAACAUAAAAUUCAACAAUGCUUUAAAUAGUGUUAGGCAAUAGGCAUUUGCUUAGGAGGUGUUAGUCGGAAUUGGAUUUAAAAUGAAUUUUAUAAUUUUCAAGUUUAGUGUUAUUGGUUUAUAGAUUCUUACAUUCUCAUUAAAAUCUAGUGUUAUUUGUUUGAUGAUUCUAUAAUUCUAUACAAAAUUAUUAGUUAUUCAAAAAGUUUAGAUUUUAAUGAUUCGACAAAUCUAUUAAAGUAGGAAGUUAAAUUCUUAACAUUUAAAAUUAUAAAACAAGAUUUUGAGAAUACUACAUGUUUCCUUUGAAUUCUUAGAAUCAUUACAUUAUUUUAUUUUUAUAGAUUUUCACAAUAUACAAAAUUCUCUACAACUUUUUCAAAAUUUAACAAAUCUUUCAAUUUUUAAAACUAACAAACUCUAUAGAAAUUUUAGCUCCACUAACAUCCCUUUAAUAUUGGUUUCGUAAGAAUAUAUAGUCGAAAUUCUCUAUAUUAAAUUACUUGUAUAUUAUUUUUUCUCUUUUCAAACUUCUAACUUUGAAGAAUAUCUUCGAAAAGUCUAAAAAUGAUCGUCGUCGGAGCUUUAUUUUAAAGACUCUCGGACGUGUGACAAGGUGACUGGCCUUAAAGAAACAUUUGUCAAAAGAGGUUUCCAAAAAUGGAAAAUAUAACCAAAGCAACCGCUUUCGGCAAACUGCGAAUUUAUUAGAGACCAAAACGGUAUUCCAAAUUUCCAAGAACAGAAAGAUGGAUCCCAUAAGAGAAGCUCGUGGGCCCGUCAAAAUAUCCUAAACCGUGGCUUGACAGCGGAAACACUUCCCUUUCGGCGUUUCCCUUGCACUUGUGCCCUACGGGGCUCACUAUCACGUCACCUUCAAGAUUUUUGAGCAAGAACCCCAAAAUUUAUUCCAUAGAUAAUAUUGAGAUUUGAUAUAUUUUAUAAAUAUAUGACCAAACAAAAAGAGAUAUUUUAUUGAUAUUAUCAUAUAAUCGAUAUUUGAGAGUGACGUAAAUCUUGCUAAUGUCUCAGUCUAAUCCCUGGCUUAAGACGAAAGAAAGUAGCUUCAUUUGUAAUUUGGUACAAUAUGUCUUUUUUUAACAACUGGUACAAUAGGUCUAAUAUUAUUAUUGUUAUUAUAUCACACCAACUUAGUACGCAAGAAAUAUCUGGCUGGAAUAAGUGACAAACACAAUCGAAUGCCAUAUUCUAUUUUGACUUCAGAAUGAAUCCAUAUUGUGUGUAUACCUUAUAAAAUUAUUUUUAUAAUCCAUAUCAUUAAACAAGUACGAAAAGAAUAGAUAACAUGGGUUUUUUCUAUUGUAUAUUCUUUUAUUUAUCGUGUUCAAAAAAAUAUUGUUUUAUUUAUCUUUUCAAUCAUUUAACUGGUUUGCUUUAUUUAUUUUAUAGGCAAUUUCUCAAAUAGAUUUUUUUUAAAAAAAUUGUCAAAGAAAUAGACUCCAAAACUAAAAUGACCAAAAUAUCAUUUUUAAUUUUGAAUUUUUUUUUUUUAAUUUUUUAAUUUUUAAAAUUUGAAAUCCUAUCCUCAAAACCCCAUUCCUCAACUCUAAAUCCUAAAUCCUAAAUUCUAAAUCCUAAACCCUAAAUCUUACCCCUUAACUCUAAAUCUAAAUGUCUAGAUUAAUUAAUCUGAGGGGUAUAAGUGUAUAUUUAAUUCUUUUGAUAAAACUUUCAAGUCUAUUUUGGUCAUUUUUAUUUUUAAGAUCUAUAUUUGUGACAAAAAAAGUUUUAGAUCUAUCUUAAAUAUUUUUUCUUUAUUUAUCUCAAACAAAAUUUUUACUUUUCUGUCUAGUGUUUUUUUGGCAUCUGACUAUAUAAGUUGGUUCCUACGUUCAGUACUCUUUCCUUAUGUGACUAGUAAUAUUAGUAUACAGAAAUUAGUAUUUAUGGUAAUUCAGGCGAAACCAUAACCAUUUGCCAGAGUUGCCCCUAAUAUGUUUGUUAUCUAAAGUGGAACAUGAAAAAAAGCAAAUACACCUUACUGAAUAAAAUUUGGGUGUAAAUUUUAUGAUGGGUUUGAAUUCAUAAACCAUUUGGGAUAUUUACACCCAAAUUUUAUUCAGUAAGGUGUAGUUGCCUUUUUUCAUGUUCCACUUUAGAUAACAAACAUAUUAGGGGCAACCCUGGCAAAUAGUUAUGGUUUCGCCUGAAUUACCAUAAAUACUAAUUUCUGUAUACUAAUAUUACUAGUCACAUAAGGAAAGAGUACUGAACGUAGGAACCAACUUAUAUAGUCAGAUGCCAAAAAAACACUAGACAGAAAAGUAAAAAUUUUGUUUGAAUUCUAAUAUGCAUGUGCUUACAAAUGGUUUAUGAAUCUAUGAUGGGUUUGAAUUCUUGCCAUUAGCUCGUGUAAUGUGACUCCGUUAUGAUGUGUGGAAGUAUACAAGCAGAGCCGGCCUUGAGAACAAGCGAAAGAAGCACAUGCUUGCGGCCACCAUUUUAUUAAGUAUUUAACUGGCCACAAUUUUUUAAAAAUUGUCCGUAGUGUUGUGGUUUAGUUACACUUGAUCAAUACGUCAGCUCAUGGUUUCAAUGCCCCUCAAGAGCAAUGUUUUUUUUUCAGCCAUUUUUUUUUAUUUGGGCUUGUGGCCUUAACAGGCCUAGGGUCGGCUCUGUAUACAAGCAUGGUUGAAGCUUUGAAGGCGAGUCAACCUUCCUUUCAUUUCUAUUCCUUUAAUUCAUUGAAGUCCAGACGAUGAAAGUUCCCUCUUCAAGCUCCUAUCUUCAACUGUCUCUUAUACAUACAACAUGUAGCUAAAUGUCUAGGUGUUCGUAAUAUUCUAUUUUUUGACUUGACAAUCUCCAAUUAGUAAAUAUUUUGUGAUUUUUGUUUUGAGAUUAUUAGGAUAUCAACGAGAUCAAAAUUGAUGAGAUUAUGAGUCGAAAUAGAGAAAAAUUAUGAAGAUUUGCCAAAAUCUCAAAAUAGGAAGUUCAUGUUCAUGCAUUAAGAUAUUAUUUACAUUGAUGUGUAUUUUAAUUUUGAAAACUUUGUCUCUUUCUCGCUUAAUUUGUUAAUGUAACUUGUAACACAAUUCAGACUGAAUUACUCUCAAAUUGAUUUACACUCUAAACUGCUUUGAACCUUCAGUUGACAUUAGAAGCUGAAGGAGCUAGUCACUCACCCACCCUCCGGACAAAUUGCCUUGGCCUGAGUCGGAUGAACCAUCUUCUGUCUCUUUGGUGUUUUUCAAAACCCUGCUUCUUUUUCCAUUGCAACGAACCUGAAAAAGAAACAUAACGUAUCUUUGACUAAAUACCAAAAUAUAAUAAAUUAAGCAUUUGAGUUAAUUAUUCAUAUACUAUAUAUUUACUUUAAGUACUUAAUAAUAUUUUAGAGUAUUUUGGUUACUUAUUUGGGAUUCGAUUCGGUUUGGCAUAAGUUUCUUUUGGGAUUUUGAAUUUGUGAAAUUUUUCAAAUAUUCAUUCGGGUUUGAAUUUAAUUCGGACAAAACUCAUAACCUAAAAUGCCACAGAACAAGAUUCAUUUUCUAUUUAUUUCGAUUCUGUUCGGAUUUAUUUUUAUUCAGUCGAUGCGGUUUAAGUUUUCAAAUUUGUUUUAUUUGCGCACCCAUAGUUAUAUGAUCUUUUGUAAAUAGCAUUUCUGUAAACAGAGACAAUAUAGGGGCACUUAAGUUAUUAGCAAAAGUUAUGGAGUAUCUAAUGGAUACAAAAAUUUAUGGGCAUUAUUAUAAACUAGCAAAGAUAUAUGGAGCGUAAAUGAAUAGCGAAAGAUUUUUUAAGCAAAAAAAAAUAACAAUAGUUUUUGAGCAAGAGGUACAGGAAACUCAACAAAUAUCAAAAGUUCUAGGAAAAUUAAUACUUAUUUUUUUCAAGUGAAAAAUUUAAGGGUAAUACAAUAUAUAUUCUAACCUUUACUUUAUUAGUUUACUCUAGACAGUUACUACUACAAAUCAUAAUACAACGGUAAAUUAAGUCAUAUUUUUUGCCUAGAUUUUUGAAACAGCUAAUAUAUUGAAAUAAAAUAAAAAUUCUAAAACAUUAUUUAUAAAUAACGGAGGGAGUCAUAAAAGAUAACUACUAGACAACUACAAAGAAAUGAUGACAACAAAUUCUAAGAUCAGCCAAAAGCCAAGAUGUAAAAAAGAAAAUAGCCUCGAGCAGUCCAAAGAGCAGAGCACAUCGAUCUCCCAAACGGAUAGGAAGCAGGUCGGAGAAACUUCUGAGAAACAUGUAGAUGACCUGAAAUAAACUUCUAUCCAAAGAGCUAAAGCAUCAAUGUGGAGGAUCCUCAAAGUUCACGCAGUUACCAGCCGGAACUUACAUCAGUCCAUCCAUAUUGUAGCACAGUUAAACACAUAUAGAUCUUCAAGGGGAUCCGGAAGAAGACUCUGAAUAUAAACUAAAACUGAAGCCAUUCCACAGAAACUUACACUCGAACAAGGCUGACAAGAAUUCAUAUGAAUCAACCAAUAACUGAAGAUGAGGUGUUGCGAUUGGAAUGAAGAGCUAUGAGACCUCUGAUGCCUUGCUUGAAAGACUGCCAAACCAAACCCAAACAAUGAAGACCCCACAUCUGAACCGGCUAAGUACUUCCACCACAAACCAGAAAAAAGAUAAGGUUUAACAAGGGCAGUCCAAACCAAACAGAGAACACCAGUAGAACCAAAGCUACUUCACUGAAAACCUCAACAGAGCAUAAAACCGAAGAGAAACCCAUCGCACAAUCAGGUUAAUCUUGAUUCACAAAACUUAACAGACCCGAAACCAAGCAACCAACACACUCAUCUUGACUGCAAGAGAUAAAAAUACUACAAACCAAGCCACAACCUGUGAUAAGCGAGAGACAGAGGCCAUCCGACAUCAUCGAUCCAAACUCAAUCCCAUUCGGAUCUACAUUCAGCUUCCCCAUCACUCACAGGCGGAAAGAGCACGCCAUGACACAGAAGCCGACCUCACCGAAGACGAAACAUCGUCCAGCCACCGCUCUAAUACCCAAAGCACCACCAUCGUCGGAUAAACCUCCAUCACCAGCCACCACCGUCGAAACUCAGAUGACUACAUAAGACCGAUUACUAGAAAAGAGAGAACAUGGAGGUCCACUCACAGCACGGCGAGGAGCGCCGGCCGGAGAAGACCUCAGAUCUAGAAGAUGAAGCUGAGGCGGCGCUCGGGUUGGGAGAGAGAGUUUCUGGAAAGAUUUUGAUCUCUGCCGGCUUCUGGCUCUGGAAGGAAAGUGUUCCUUGCUGGCUUAUGUGUAUUCGACUGCAUUUCACCUGUUUUAAUAUUAAUCCAACAGAUGAUAAAAAAAAAAUAAUAACGGAGGGAGUAAAAACCUAGAGCUAUGGUUGACUUAUAUCAUAUGUAUGAUAUUUGGGUUGGCAAUUUUGAUUCAUACUAAUCUGAAUAAACUUGAUUUGAGGAAAAAAAUUUAGGAGUUAUAGUUGGAGGCGAUUUUGUUUAACAGAGUAUAACAAAAUGAAAUAAAUAUAAUGAUGUCAAAAACUAAUUUUAAACAAUGUGAUUUCUACAUUAGUUGCGUUAUUUUUAACUUUAUAUUGUAUAUUAUAUUACUAUUUAAAAUUUAAUUAAAUAUGAUGUAUUAUAUAUUUUAUAUUACGGUCUAGAGUUGAUAUUGACACGUUAUUAAAAAAAGUCGGCUCCAUCUUACCAAGCAUAUGUAAGUUUUAUUUUUAUUUGAUAUUUUUGAGUUGUAAGUUUGAAAAGAAACUGAAAAUUAAUCUGCAAAUAUUAUAAUUUAUAAAUCUACUCUAAAUAUAUAAACUAAUAUUAUACUUUACGAAAAAAAUAUAUCUACUCUAAAUAAAGCAACGAUAUAGAUUACAGUACUUGUAUACUCUAAUUUCUCUUCUACUUGGGUUCUACUUUCAAACUGGUAACUUUGAAGAACAUCUUUGAAAAGUUUAAAGAUGAUCCUGGGACCUUUAUCCGGUCGAGUGAUAAGGUGACUGGCGUUAAAGAAACAUUUGUCAAAAGAGGUUUCUGAAAAUGGAAAAUAUAACCGAAGCAACCGCUUUCAGCAAACCGCGAAUUUAAUAGAGACGAAAACGGUAUUCUAAAAACAGAAAGAUGGGUCCCAUAAGAGAGCUAGUCAUGGGCCCGUCAAAAUUUCCUAAACCGUGGUUUAACAGCAGAAACACUGUCCCUACGGGCUUCCCUUUCCCUUGCACUUGUGCCCUACGGGGCCCCACUCACAUCGCCUUCAAGCCUUACUUUCUUGUUAAGAAAAUUAUUUUCUUGUGUCAUUUUUCCGAUCACCACUAGUUUUCACCCUUUAUGUUUGUCGUCUUGUUUUUUCUCCGAAGGUGUAGCUAUACUCAAUAGUUACUAACGUGUGAGAGGUGAGGUGAGUGGCGCCGAGAGAGACGUUUCUUGUAAGCGAAUAUAUGUUAGGAAAGAUACUCUAUAUUGAGAUACUAUUUUUGAUUUUACUUUAUUAAAUGAUUUGAUUUAAACCACAAGUUUUUGAUCUGAGCAAGAACCACAUGUUUUUUCAUGGAUAAGAUCAAAUUUGAGAUAUUUUAUAGAUGUUUGACCAACCAAAAAGAAAUAUUUAUUUUAUUGAUAUAAUUGAGAGGUGAGAGUAACAUAUACCUUGCUAAUGUAUCGGUCUGAUCCAUCAGCCAUAGCUUUAGACCAAACUAGUUUCAUUUGUACAAUAUGUCUAGUACUAUUUACAUCAGUAUACGACACCAGUUUAGUGGUCUUGGCGAGACGGACAGGACGGCUGAUCUUGCCAUCUUGGCGAGAGGGCGAGACCUUUAGAAACAUCAGACUGGGGGUAAGUGACAAACACAAUCAAAUACCAUAUUUUAUUUCAACUUCAGAACUAAUCCAUAUUGUGUGCUAAAUACCUUUUUAUUAUAUAUAUAUCAUUGUUAAACAAGUACCAAAAGGAUAGAGAACAUGUGGGUUUAUAUUGGCUUGGGUCAAGCUAACGCCAUUAGAUAUACAUUAUAUGGCCAGUCGUCUUUCAAUGUUAUAUCACCAUGUUGAAAAUCAAAUUUCAUGUGACGAAGAGACAGCUUUAGUUAUCAUUUCAAUCAUUUUACUGUUUUCGAAGAAUCAAAUGAAACGUUACUUUACUAUAUAUUUUUUGGUAUCUGGCUAUUUUGGUUCUUAUGUUCAAUACCUUAGCACUCUUUUUCGUAUGUCAGAAUUAAUAUUAGAAAUAUCGAUUUGUUUCACAUGAUAUGCAGUCUUUAGAAUCACUCUCUUAUGAAACUUUAAAGUUUCGUCGGUAGGUAGCUCACGUUUUUUUUGGUCAUCCAAUUAAUUUUCGUCGUAAUUUCACACGAGGCUAUACUUUUCACACAUAUGAGUAUGGUAGACAGCGGACGACCAGUAACUAUGGAAUAUGUGUGAAAGGGGAAAUAGAUUUCUACGGGAUCUUGACGGAGAUUAUUGAAGUCGAAUUUCCAGGGAUAUUGAAGCUGAAAUGCGUCCUCUUCCAAUGUGAAUGGUUCGAUUCCGUCGUCACAGAGGUGUUCGGUCUAACAAAUUCGGUGUAGUUGAUGUCAACGGUGGACGAAGGUACAACAAAUUCGAGCCUUUCAUCUUAGCUUCACAAGCAGACCAAGUUAGCUUCCUUCCAUACCCUCGAAUGAGAGAUUCGGGUAUAAAUUGGUUAGCUGUGAUCAAAGUUACACCUCGAGGACGAAUUAUCAGUGGAGAAGAACCACCAUUGCAAGAAGAACAGAUAAAUGAAGUCGAGGAACCUGAACAAGAAAUUGAUGACAUCCUUCUCAUUGAUCCGCAUAAUCACGAGUACGAAGAUCUUACCGACGAUGCCACAGACGAAGCUGUUGAAGACGAGUUUAAUGAAAAUAAUGAUGUUUCUAGUGAUGACGAGAAUGUUGAUGUAUCCGAUUGAUGUAUUUGAUUUUAUGUAUUUUGUUUUAUGAAUAAGAUAAUGUGGGAGUUUGAUUUAUGAAUAAGGUAAUGUGAAAGUUUAUUUUAAUUAUGAAUAAGGACUUGUGGUUUGGGGUUUGGAAUAUUUUAUAAAUAGGGUUUGAGGUGAAAGAAUAGAUUGAGGUUCAAGGGUAGAUGGGUUUGGGGUUUGGAAUAUAUGAAGUAGAAGAUAAGGAAGAUGGGGUUUGGGGUUUCGGAUUUUAGGGAUUUAUACGUAAUACUCGUUAAUUCCUCGUAAGCCAAAAUCGUCGUAAGGUUGUCGUAAGGCCACGAGGAGUUUACGACGAAAUUAAAAAAAAUAAAGAAAGCGGGGCACGCUAAUUCCACGCAAGCCAAAAUCGUCGUAAGGUUGUCGUAAGGCCACGAGGAGUUUACGACAAAAUUAAAAAAAAAAUAAAGAAAGCGGGGCACGCUAAUUCCACGUAAGACUCUCUGAGUGAAUGAAAAUAAGGAAUUGUGGUUUGGAAUGAAAAUAAAGAUAGGGUUUGGAAUAUAUGAAGUAGAAGAUAAGGAAUAUGGGGUUUGGGGUUUGGGGUUUCGGGUUUUAGGGAUUUAAAUGGAAUACUCGUUAAUUCCUCGUAUGUUAACGUCGAACUUACGACGAAUUCCUCGUAAAUACCACGUAGGACAGAUUCGUCGUAAAUACCACGUAGGACAGAUUCGUCGUAAAUACCACGUAGGACAGAUUCGUCGUAAAUACCACGUAGGACAGAUUCGUCGUAAAUACCACGUAGGAGAGAUUCGUCGUAAAUACCACGUAAAGUAAAUGAUGAACGCGGCCCACUUUAAUUCCACGUAGGACGGAAUCGUCGUAAACACCUCGUAACCAAAAUCGUCGUAAACACCUCGUACCGUAAAAACUAGAAAAAAAAAAAGAAGAAAAAAUAUACUGGAUUUACAUGUGGCAAGACUUCCAGCAAUUAUAUUACUUAAGUCUCACCAACAUAAAUUCCAAUAUCUUCUUCUCUUCCUUUUUUUUCAAAUUUUUAUAAUUUGAAUAGGAUUGGAUUUGAGAGUAUGAAGUGAGAUAGGGUGUGAUUUGGGAGUUUGGGUGUGGGUUGAGAAGGAGAGUUACGGGUAUAUUUAUAGGGAAGCUUUCCUCAGUAAUUCCACGUAAGCAAAAUCGUCGUAACGUCCUCGUACCUAAAAAACACGGGCCUUUGUAAUUCCUCGUAACUUCCUCGUAUAAUAAAACGCGGGCCUUUGUAAUCUCUCGCUGUUUCGUCGUAAAAAAAAACACGGGCCUCUGUAAUUCGUCGUAAAAUUACGAGGAAUUUGCGACGGAAUGUAAUCUUAUAUAUACACCCCGAGCGCUCACUCUUUCUUUCCUCUCUACUUCCUCUCCACUUCCUCCCUGUUUCGUUGCAAUGGUAAGUCUCUCUAAUUCCUCUCUAAUUUGGUUAGUUUAGGUAGAUUAGGCGGUUAGUAUAGGGAAUUUAGAUAAGUUUACGGAUCUUAUGUUAUUUAGUGUUGAUUAGGUGGAUAAUGUUGGAAAAUAUACUGUUGACGGAAAUUUAAAAAAUUAAAAUUUUUUCUCAGGUUCGAAAAGGUAGACUUACUGCCCAUUACAAAGAGAUGUUCGGUGAGCCAGGUAGUCACCAACCGACGACUCACAUGCCGAGGCGGAUGUAACGGCGAGGAGUGAUGAAUUCUACCGGGCGAUUAACGACCCUUAGUUCUUUUUAAUUUCGGUUCUUGUAUUAUGAAUUCAAAACUUAUUUAUAUAUAAAAUAUUUUGGUUUUGAUUUUUUUAGAAUUUUAAUUUUAUUAAUAAUUUAAAUAAUUUUUUUAAUUAUAAUUUUUUUUAUUUUUGUAAAAUAACGAAACGAAGUAAUUUCGUAGCUAUUUUGCGACUUCUUUACGUGGAAGCUUAACGAGGUUUUUACGAGGAAAUGUUUACAAGGAAAUGACGUGGAAAAUUCACGUGGUCUUUACGAGGAAAGCUAUCAAGAUAUUUACGUUUACUUUACGAGUAUUUACUUUCGAGUUAUUUACGUGGCUUUAACGAGGAAUGGCUUUCGAGGUAUUUACGAGGAAAUUUAGCGACGUCCUUACGUGGAAGCUUUACGUGGUCUUUACGACGAAAUAUUCUUCUUCGCUUUUCGACGAAAUUAUUUCCUUGCUACGCUACGACGAAUUAGCGAGGAUAUAUGCGUUACGACAAACGUAUAACGACGAAACGGGUUUCCUCGCUAAUUCCUCGUAACACUGCUUUUACGACGAAAUCACGAGGAAAACUGCCCUCGUAAAACUUGUGUUUUCUUGUAGUGUUUGUGUAAAACUGGGAAUAUAUUUGUUAUCUAAAACGGAACAUGAAAACAAAACCAAAAGGAAAAUACAACUUACUAAAUCAAACGUGUAAGUAAAGGUUUUCCCAAUGCAGUCUUUUUUUUUUCCCAAUGCAGUCUUGCCAUUUUCUCUUGUAAUGUGACUCCGUUCUGAUGUGUACAAGCAUGGUUGAAGCUUUGAGGGCAUGUCAACCUUUCUUUCGCAUCUAUCCCUUGUACUCAUCGGAGCCUAAACGAUGAAGUGUUUAAUUUUUAACUACAUAUUUAAUAUCCAAUGUUUUAAUUUGCCUCUUUCCAUAUUAUCUAUUCAUUAAGAACCCUAAUAUUUGACGGCUUCUCUCUCCAACACCUCUCUUUGGUAAAGGCUUGUAGCCUUUACAUCAAUUCAGUUGAAGUCUGAUCUCUAAUGAGGACAAUCACAUAACACGUACGGGGGAUCCAGACUGACAUACUCUCAGAUUCAAACUCUUAACUGACGUAACACUUCCACUGAUUGAUAUGAGAAGCUGAAGGAGCUCGUCAUCGUCUGGAAAAUAUUACAUUGGCAUUAGUCCUCUUCUGUCUCUGCAGUGCUUUUCAAAACCAUGCCUCUCUUUUCGUUGCGACCAACCUGAGAACAGCAACAACAGCGUAUUGUACGAUAUAUGGCGGAAUUUGCUUGUCUGCUGGGUAGUUUAUAUGAUUAUUCUUUGUGCGACGAGUCUCUAGUUGAAUUCAUACACUUUUAAUGGCUGGUUCUGUGGCAACAAAUAAAAACGGAAGCAUUUCAGUUUAUGGUAUAUGACAAGCGGUAUUAAGAAAUUGAUUUGAGUAUUUAUGUGAUAAAAGUGAAAUUUGUUAAACUAUAAUCUAAUCUCUCCUUGAUACAUUUACAUAAGUUAGUUAUUUAUGUUAUUACACAAAGAGUUGUAACUCUUCAAGUUGUGUCCUUUAGUAUAAAGAGUUGUGUCUCUUAUACUUGUAUUGAUUCGACCUCUAUAUAAAGAUCAAUCAUCUGUUGUAAACACAAUACCGAAUCUCAAUAAUACAAAAGUAUUUUCAGAAAAGUUUAUAAGCCUGAAACGUCUAUCUUAUUCUUUCUCUCGAACUCGUGUGUAACACACUGUGAUCGUUGUGUAACACAAGCAGUUGGUAAAAGAUUAACAUGGUAUCAGAGCUUUACGUUUGAGAGGACAAAGGAAAAAGCACUAGUAAGAGAAACACUUGGCGUGGAGAAAAGGAGGCUAGAGGAUUUUGUCAUACGAUUUCGGAAUCACUCGAAACGAUGAAGAAUCAAGUAAUCCCCAUAUUUGAUGGAGAGAAGUACGACUUCUGGAGCAUCAAGAUGACAACCAUUCUCAAGACCAGGAAGUUAUGGUCUGUGGUUGAAGAAGGCGUAGCAGCCCCACCAGCACAAGUGGAUGAAACCCCUGAAACAGCAAGGGCAAGAUCGCUUAGAGAAGAAGCGAUGAUGAACGAUACAUUGGCUUUGCAAAUCUUGCAAACUGCUGUAUCGGAUCAUAUAUUCUCACGGAUUGCAGCAGCAUCAACAUCCAAAGAGGCGUGGGAUGCAUUGAAGGAGGAGUAUGAAGGCUCUCCUCAAGUUCGUUUGAUUAAACUUCAAACAUUGCGAAGGGAGUAUGAGAAUCUGAAGAUGUAUGAGAAUGAAGACAUUAAGGUCUUCACAGAUAAGAUAGUUGAAUUGGCAAAUCAAUUAACUUAUCAUGGUGAACAGAAGUCAGAUGUUCAACUCAUACAGAAGAUACUCAUCUCUCUCCCAGCCAAGUUCGAUAGCAUAGUCAGUGUGUUGGAGCAAACAAGCGAUUUGACUUCAACAAAGAUGACAGAGUUGAUCGGGAUCUUGAAGGCUCAUGAAGCAAGGCUGGCUGCAAGAGAAGAAAGCACCAGUGAAGGAGCAUUCGAUGCUCGUGUUAAACACAAAAAUUCUGGUGUUACACAAGACAACUCAAAGCGCCAAGGAGGCAAGAAGUGGUGCGGUUUCUGCAAGAGAAACAACCACAAUGAGAGCGAGUGUUGGAGGAAACAGAAGAAGGAAGAUCCAAAGAAGGAUCACAGAAGUAACAAGGAGUGUUACAAUUGUGGCAAGUUAGGCCACUUUGCAAAUCAGUGCUACUCAAAGAAGAAAGAGAAGGCACAUGUGAGUUCGAAGAAGAUUCAAAUGAAGAUCACAUGUUGUUCAGUGCGAGCGAAGCAGCAACAACAGUGAUGGAAGAUGUCUGGUUAGUAGACAGUGGAGCAACUAAUCAUAUGACAAAGGAGGAGAGUUACUUCUCAAAGCUUGAUAGGAGUAUCAAGGUUCCAAUAAAGAUUGGAAAUGGAAGCACAGUCAUGACAGCCGGUAAAGGAGACAUUACCGUCAUGACUAAAGGUGGCAAGAAGACCAUCAGAAAUGUGUUCUUGGUUCCGGGUUUGGCGAAAAAAUUGUUGAGUGUUCCACAAAUUGUUUCAAGCGGAUACCGGGUGAGUUUCCAAGAGAAGAGAUGCAUCAUAGAUGAUGCAAAAGGAAGGAGGAUAAUGGAUAUCCCAAUGACUCACAAAAGCUAUCGAAUCAGGAUGAGUUCGGCUCAGGUAGAAGAGGCCUUGAGCGCUAGUGAGCAAGGAAAGAUGGAGACAUGGCACAAGAGACUUGGUCAUGUAGGCGACAAAAGGUUGCAACAAAUGCAAGACAAAGACUUGGUAAAGGGAUUACCAAAGUUUAAAGUCAAGAAGGAAGCAUGUGAGGCGUGUAGACUUGGAAAGCAAUCACGCAAAAGCUUCCCAAAGGAAUCUCAAACUAAGACAAGAGAGAAGCUUGAGAUUGUACAUACGGAUGUAUGUGGGCCGAUGCAGCACCAGUCUGUUGAUGGAAGCCGAUACUUUUUGCUAUUCUUGGAUGAUCAUACUCACAUGUGUUGGGUAUACUUCAUGAAGCAAAAGUCAGAGACAUUCUCACUGUUCAAGAAGUUCAAAGCAAUGGUGGAGAAGCAGUCGGAUUGUACCAUCAAGACACUGAGAUCAGAUGGAGGUGGUGAGUUCACUUCACGAGAAUUCAACCGGUUCUGUGAAGAAGAAGGAAUCAAUAAGCAAGUCACCUUGCCUUAUUCACCACAACAAAAUGGUGCAGCGGAGCGCAUGAAUAGGACCUUGGUGGAGAUGGCUAGAUCUAUGUUGGCAGAACAAGACUUACCGCUCAAGUUAUGGGCAGAAGCGGUAUACACUGCCUCAUAUCUUCAAAACCGUCUGCCAUCAAAGGCAAUAGAAGAAGAUGUCACUCCUAUAGAGAAGUGGUGUGGACACAAGCCAGAUGUGUCACACAUGAGAAUGUUUGGUAGCAUAUGCUACAUACAUAUCCCAAAUCAAAAGAGGAGGAAGCUAGACGUCAAGGCAAAGCGUGGAGUCUUUGUUGGAUAUAGCAACCAAUCCAAAGGCUAUAGAGUUCUCAUUUUGGAGAAUGAGAAGAUUGAAGUAUCAAGAGAUGUCGAGUUUGAAGAAGGAAAGAAGUGGGAUUGGAAAAGGCAAGAAGAAGUGAGGAAGACAUUGGAGUUGUCUAUGGAAGACUCUCACUCGCCUGAGGAUCAAACCGAAGGUGCAUCCAGUCCUGAGGAACAAACCGAAGGUGCAUCCAGUCCUGAGGAACAAUUUGGAGGUACUUUCAGUCCUAUUUCUUUUCAAAAUGAUGAUCAUGAUACUAGUAGUGGAGAUGAAGAAACUUCUGAGGCACCAAGGAAGUUCAAGUCCAUGGUUGAUAUCAUGGAAAGGGCACCGAGAGUAGAGCUUGAUGAAGCGGCUCAAGCUAUAGAAGCUUGUCUUCAUGCAAAUGAAGAACCAUACACUUAUGAUGAAGCGUGUGGUACCAAGGAAUGGAGAGAAGCAAUGAAUGAGGAGAUAGCCAUGAUUGAGAAGAACAAGACGUGGGAACUAGUGGACAAGCCAAAGAAGAAGAAUGUGAUAAGUGUGAAGUGGAUCUACAAGAUCAAGACCGAUGCAAACGGCAAUCACAUCAAGCACAAGGCGCGGCUAGUUGCAAGAGGGUUCUCUCAAGAGUAUGGUGUUGACUACCUUGAGACGUUUGCUCCUGUCUCAAGACAUGAUACAAUACGAGCCAUACUUGCCUAUGCGGCUCAGAUGAAGUGGCGAUUGUAUCAGAUGGAUGUGAAGUCAGCCUUUCUCAAUGGCGACCUCAAGGAAGAAGUGUAUGUCACACAACCGCCUGGGUAUGUGACACACGGGAAGGAACACAAAGUGUUAAGGCUACACAAAGCUUUAUAUGGUUUAAAGCAAGCCCCAAGGGCAUGGUAUGGAAGGAUAGAUUCAUACUUUCUUCAAAACGGUUUUGAGAGGAGUAUGAAUGAUGCGGCCUUAUACAUCAUGAAGCAAGGAGGAGAUGUGUUGAUCGUGAGUCUAUAUGUGGAUGAUAUAAUCAUCACAGGAAGCAACAUUCAGAGCAUCAACACAUUCAAGGAGAACAUGAAGAAAGAAUUCGAGAUGGUGGAUCUUGGAUUGUUGAACUACUUUCUUGGAAUGGAAGUAAUUCAAGACAAUGGAGGCAUAUUUCUUUCACAAGAAAAAUAUGCAAACAAACUUGUAGACAAGUUUGGGAUGCGAGACAGCAAGAGUGUAAGCAACCCACUUACACCACAAGGAAAAGGAGUUGAGGAUGACAAGGAGUAUGGAGAUCCGACUAAGUAUAGAAGCAUCAUUGGAGGGCUUUUGUACUUGUGUGCAUCAAGACCUGAUGUGAUGUAUGCAAGCGCCUAUCUCUCAAGAUACAUGUCAUCACCUCGCAUGAAGCACUACCAAGAAGCCAAGAGGGUGUUAAGAUAUGUCAAAGGAACAUCAAACUUUGGAGUGUACUUCACAAGCGUGAAAGAACCAAGACUUCUAGGCUACACGGACAGCGAUUGGGGUGGUUCUAAGGAAGACAAGAAAAGCACUUCAGGUUAUGUGUUUACUCUUGGAUCAGCCAUGUUUUGUUGGCAGUCAAGCAAGCAACAAACAGUGGCGCAAUCAACGGCUGAGGCAGAGUACAUAGCCGUGUGUGCAGCAGCAAAUCAAGCAGUGUGGUUACAAAGACUAUUUGAAGACUUUGGUCAGAAGUUUGAAGGAGGCAUUCCGAUCUUAUGUGACAACAAAUCAGCAAUAGCAAUUGGGAAGAAUCCGGUGCAACACAGAAGGACGAAGCACAUAGAGAUCAAGUACCAUUUCGUGAGGGAAGCUGAGCAAAAGGGAAUCAUUGAACUGAAGUAUUGCAAAGGGGAUGAUCAACUCGCAGACAUUCUCACAAAGGCAUUGGGUGGUUCAAGAUUUGAAGAUCUAAGGAAGCAGCUUGGAGUCAAGUCGAGAUAUGAUUAAGGAGGAGUGUUAAACUAUAAUCUAAUCUCUCCUUGAUACAUUUACAUAAGUUAGUUAUUUAUGUUAUUACACAAAGAGUUGUAACUCUUCAAGUUGUGUCCUUUAGUAUAAAGAGUUGUGUCUCUUAUACUUGUAUUGAUUCGAUCUCUAUAUAAAGAUCAAUCAUCUGUUGUAAACACAAUACCGAAUCUCAAUAAUACAAAAGUAUUUUCAGAAAAGUUUAUAAGCCUGAAACGUCUAUCUUAUUCUUUCUCUCGAACUCGUGUGUAACACACUGUGAUCGUUGUGUAACACAAGCAGUUGGUAAAAGAUUAACAAAAUUGAUUUGGGAAUUAUCCUUAAAAGAAAUUUUAGAAGUAAUUGUGGAAUCGAAUAAUAAGUAUUGCACAGUAAAACUAAAGUGGUGAACUAAUGUCGUGUGAUCCACGACCGAGAGGACUAGCGUGAAGAGCCACCGGCGGAGUUGGUCGGGAUUUUACAGGAAGGUUCUAAACGUGUUAUAUUAUCUAAGAGGUAUAAGAUGAUUAUGGUUCUUUCUCCAACAAAUAUGAAAAUAAACCUUUUUGUACACUUAAAGUGCUUCACAGAAUCACAAAUUAGAAUGUCUAUUAUAUACCGUUUUUAAAAGAAUGCUUUAUAUAUGACUUAUUCUUAGGUCCACCCCCUAGGGUGAACCUCUAGGUUCACCAACCAAUAAGAUUGUCUUAUUUUAUAUUUGAUAUCUUUUAAAAAAAGAAACAAAAUAUUGUCAAAUUAUAUUAUGUUUUUAAAAUUAAAAGGUAAAAAAAUAAUAAUAAUUACAAAAAAAAAUAUUUUACGUCGUCAGCAUAACAUUAAACUCUAAACCCUAAAUUUUAGUCCCUAAACCCUUAAUCCUAAACUCUAAACCCUUGGAUAAACCCUAAACUCUAGGAUAAACCCUAAACUCUAGGAUAAAUCCUAAACUCUAGGAUAAAUCCUAAACUCUAGGAUAAAUCUUUAACUCUAAAUCAAAAUCACUAUACACUAAAAUAUUCAAGCGUUUAGGGUUUAGGGUUUUAGUCGUUUUUUUUUAGAGUUUAAAAUUUAUCCAAGGGUUUAGGGUUUACCCAAGGGUUUAGGGUUUACCCAAGGGUUUAGAGUUUACCCAAGGGUUUAGGAUUUACCCAGGGGUUUAGGGUUUAGGAUUUAGGGUUUAGGGAUUAUGAUUUAGGGUUUAGUGUUUUGUUGACAACAUUAAAAAUAUAUUUUUUUUUAAUUCUUUUUUCUGUAACCAUUAUCUUUUUUCACUUUUUUAUUUUAAAAAUAUAAUAUAAUUUGAGAAUAUUUUGUUUCAUUUUUUAAAAGAUAUCGAAUUUGAAAUAAUGAAAUCCUAUUGGUUAGUGAACCUAGAGGUUUACCCUAGGGGGUGAACUCAAGAAUGACUCUUUAUAUAUAUGAUAACAACUCGGAAUAAAUAGAUAGCACAUGAAGUAUCCUUUUUGCAGAUCUUUUAGAUUUUUUAUGUUUCUAGAUGGUUUCAAGAUAACGAUCUUUUGUUUAUUCAUGGAAGUUAAUAGUUAAAUACAAGGUUGUCCUGCACAACCCAUGCAUAGCCACACAUUCACCCAGUACAAGUUAAAACACAUAAAGGUAUAGCGAGUGAAGAGUCAGCAGCCAUACCACAAAGGUCAAGAUGACACGUGGCAGCAUAUAAGUGAAUGAAAACAACGCAUUCACACAAACCGUGGGAUCAAUUUAGCUGUGUCCUGUCCACUUGGCACUCCCAGAGCCAAAAACACCGUGUUCUUUUCUAAAAACCAGCCCCACCCAUUUCAAAAUAUCUCAUGCCAAUAUAAACACCAACUCUCGCUCCACUUUUCUCAAACCACAAACUUUUAACUCCACCUGAAAAGAAGCUAAAAGUGAGAGAAAUAAAUAUCUUAUCAAACCAGACAGAACAGAGAUCUUGUUACUUACUAUACUACUACACUCAGCCUUAUCCAGUUUUUCAAAAGAAGUUUUCAACGAUGAACUCAGUCUCUACUCUUUCUGAAGUUCUUGGCUCCCAGAACGAGUCUCCCGUAGGUGGUGAUUACUGUCCCAUGUUGGCGGCGAGCUGUCCGAAGAAGCCGGCGGGUAGGAAGAAGUUUCGGGAGACACGUCACCCCAUUUACAGAGGAGUUCGUCUUAGAAAGUCAGGUAAGUGGGUGUGUGAAGUGAGGGAACCAAACAAGAAAUCUAGGAUUUGGCUCGGAACUUUCAAAACAGCUGAGAUCGCAGCUCGUGCUCACGACGUUGCCGCCUUAGCUCUCCGUGGAAGAGGCGCCUGCCUCAACUUCGCCGACUCGGCUUGGCGGCUCCGUAUCCCGGAGACAACCUGCGCCAAGGAUAUCCAGAAGGCUGCUGCUGAAGCCGCAUUGGCUUUUGAGGCGGAGAAGAGUGAUACCACGACGACGAAUGAUCAUGGCAUGAACAUGGCUUCUCAGGUUGAGGUUAAUGACACGACGGAUCAUGACCUGGACAUGGAGGAGACGAUGGUGGAGGCUGUUUUUAGGGAGGAACAGAGAGAAGGGUUUUACAUGGCGGAGGAGACGACGGUGGAGGGUAUUGUUCCGGAGGAACAGAUGAGCAAAGGGUUUUA
Molecule: long non-coding RNA, 35785 nt
Filed under: Brassica rapa (field mustard)
Lineage: Eukaryota; Viridiplantae; Streptophyta; Magnoliopsida; Brassicales; Brassicaceae
Description: long non-coding RNA (BRAP_LNC006044)
Source: RNAcentral